RNAcentral lists this transfer RNA (71 nucleotides) under Anadara vellicata. RNAcentral describes it as "tRNA-Glu". The record is from RNAcentral. Lineage: Eukaryota; Metazoa; Mollusca; Bivalvia; Arcoida; Arcidae.
UGCCAAAUGAGUAUAUCAGUACAUCGACUUUUCGAGUCGAAAGUCUUUCUAAUAAAUGGAAGAUUUGGCAG